CCAAAAGAAAAUAUUGAAGCAAUUGAGAAAAUUAAGAUGAAAGACAGAAGGCAAAGGUUACGUGAAGAAAAAAAGAAACAAGAAACGAAACUUCAGGAAGAACGACUGCAGUGUUCUCUGAAAAGAGCAAUUGCAGCACCAAAGAAGAAGAUGGGAAGAAAGCUGGUAUUUCGCUCACAGCCUCCAGAGAUUAGAAAGAAGGAGGUGUGCCUGAAAGAGAUCAACACAAAAAUGCAAGAUGAUAUGUUAUUUUUCACUUGAGUUUAAAAGUAGUUGCACCUCCUUAAAGGGGGUGUUGCAGGUAUAUCUUCCUAUUUAGGUCAUCUAGAGCAAGAGAUUAAUAUUCUGUGCUGUAGUUUAACAGAAUUUACAAACAAAGAGGAGUUAUCACUAACAUGCAGGGAUCCAUAGUGUAAGUAGUAAACCUACUUUGUACAUCAGAUGUGAAAAAAAAAAACCAGAAUGUCUUCACUGCUUGUUCAGUAACACCUAUUACCACUAUCAGCAGAGAAAAAUGCCAUUCCCAUAACUACUUCAGUACACUCCAGUGUAGUCAGCUUAGAAAGACAGCUGUUUGCAACAGUAAAAAAAAGCCUCACUGACUUUUGAGCUGUUCUAUAAUACGACUGCAGUGCAAUGAAAGAGAUAGGACACCCUUUGCUACAUAAAGUGAUUUGCCACAAUCCUGUUGAUAUGCACAACUUUAAAGAUAAAAUUUACCAUGAGAAGCCACUUAGAUGCAAGAGUUCACCUUUAAGAAUAAAGUAGUACACAUAUUAGUAUUUUAAAAUGUC
This 794-nucleotide long non-coding RNA is filed under the name Gopherus agassizii (Agassiz's desert tortoise). Its description in RNAcentral is "lncRNA (ENSGAGG00000014831.1)". Lineage: Eukaryota; Metazoa; Chordata; Testudines; Testudinidae. The record is from RNAcentral.